This 248-nucleotide ribosomal RNA is filed under the name uncultured bacterium. RNAcentral describes it as "partial 16S ribosomal RNA". It matches the Rfam family "Bacterial small subunit ribosomal RNA", at positions 29 to 253 of the family's 1533-position model. The record is from RNAcentral.
AGCGAACGUUGGCGGCGUGCCUAACACAUGCAAGUCGAGCGCGGGCAUUUCGGGGGUAACCCCGGGAUGUGCUGAGCGGCGGACGAGUGAGUAAUACGUGGACAACCUGCCUUAAAGCUUGGGAUAACUCCGGGAAACUGGAGGCUAAUACCGGAUAAGACCACGGUGUCUAUGGAUGCUGAGGUAAAAGGCGGCCAGGAAACUGGCUGUUGCUUAAAGAUGGGUCCACGUCCCAUCAGGUAGUUGGU